UUUCCUCAACUCCCUUUUUUCAUUUUUGUUUAAGCGUAGCCUUUUUUCCACGGUGCCCAGUGCUUCAUUUCUGUGCUUGGUUUGAAUGACCAGGUAGUUAAAAUUCACUUGUCCAUGGUGAGAGAGAAAGCGGUGCAAGUGUUCAAAAACAGAGACAACAGUGUAGGUUUUGUUUCUUAAAAUGGUCAGCCAUGAAAUACAAGAAGGUGCAAAGAACUCUAUGUUAAUUCCACAACGGCUGCCUGCGGGUUAAACGUGAUAUGACAUAUUUAUUUACUGAUACCCAGAACUGACACAAUAACCCCUGUUGCUGUGCAUGUUGAAAAGAGAGAUCUAUUUGCUCUCUGCAAACCUAGCAAUGUUCGUGCUGAGAAACUAUAAUACGCAGCACUAAAUUUAGAGCAUAGUCAGCCAAAGAUAUUCUUACUGCCCUCUAUGUAUUAUGAAAUCUGUUUGACAAUUACUUAAGGCGUUUCUCUUAUCUAAACAAUUUCCACAGUAGCGUUGCUGUAUUUUAAAAGUAGUAAGACUUCUUUAAGAUAGGAAAACCCCCAUCCAAAACCCACUUUGAAGCUAGCCAGAUACGAACAGCAGGAACAGGUGAGUAUCUGAUACUUUUGUGCCAUAUUAACACAACUUCCCUUUUGAGGUUGCUGUGAGUGCUGGAGGAUGCUGCUUGGGCUGAGAACUGAGUCUGCUGUUAAUGUUGGAUAUUGGGCACUAGUGAAACUGAGCAGUCACCAACUUCAUCAUAGAAGCAGAAGAUCCCAAAACUUUCCACCCUUCAGAUUCUCAUCUGCACCGUGCAAAAAGGCCGCAGCGGAGACCCAGGCCCGUUUUCUGAGGACGCUAAUACCUGCGUGGAAAGAGAGAGCAAAAAAUAAGCGGAGCAGAAAAGGAUGGAAAAGAGCGCGCACCACAGAAGGGAGAAGCACGACUGAAGUCAGGUACUAUUUAAGUGGAAAAGCUAAAUUACAGCCUAUGGUUUUUGUCUUAAAUUCAGCCCUAAAUUAGGCUGCACUGUGAUUUUGAGGAAUAAUGGUUUUUCUUCUUCCUAAAGAAAAUGGGCCAUCCUACCUCAGCGUAUCCUGCUGUGGGACCAGCCAUGUCACCUGUCGUAGUCCUGAGGGCAGCGGGGCCUGAAAUCCCUGACUCCUGUGUUUCUUAUUGACAAAUGGUAAAGGUCUCCUACAGCAAUGACAAGCACGGAUAUUUUAACCGGCAAUACGGACAGAGACAAUUUAUAGUCUAUUGUGUUAAGGCAGCUGCUGAGCGUUCAUACCCUGCCACCAUCUUGACAUUCCCGACUGGUUUUGAUAGCUAUUUUUAACAAUGGAUGUUUAACAGGAAAACCCUCAUUUCCCAGCAUGUUAUCUUGGCCUUUUGCACUUUUUCUCUUCUCUAGUCCCUUCCUCCAGCUUUUCCACCUUCCCACACUUCUCCUCACACGCAUACAUGAAAACAAGUGCAGCAAGAAAAAAAAAAAGGUAAAACCGUCGUAACACAGCCUAAGUACAAUUCAGUAACAGAGGGGAUGUUUCUUUGGCAAACGUUUUGCAUACAACAGUACUGAAAACAAGAAAGAUCCUGUAUCUACUACCAC
This is a long non-coding RNA of Struthio camelus australis, 1603 nucleotides long. Lineage: Eukaryota; Metazoa; Chordata; Aves; Struthioniformes; Struthionidae. The record is from Ensembl.